Molecule: ribosomal RNA, 539 nt
Filed under: uncultured Mycobacterium sp.
Lineage: Bacteria; Bacillati; Actinomycetota; Actinomycetes; Mycobacteriales; Mycobacteriaceae
Description: bacterial SSU rRNA
Rfam family: Bacterial small subunit ribosomal RNA
Source: RNAcentral
CAUGCAAGUCGAACGGAAAGGCCCUUUCGGGGGUACACGAGUGGCGAACGGGUGAGUAACACGUGGGUGAUCUGCCCUGCACUUUGGGAUAAGCCUGGGAAGCUGGGUCUAAUACCGAAUACAUCCUGCUGGUCGCAUGGCCUGGUGGGGGAAAGCUUUUGCGGUGUGGGAUGGGCCCGCGGCCUAUCAGCUUGUUGGUGGGGUGAUGGCCUACCAAGGCGACGACGGGUAGCCGGCCUGAGAGGGUGUCCGGCCACACUGGGACUGAGAUACGGCCCAGACUCCUACGGGAGGCAGUAGUGGGGAAUAUUGCACAAUGGGCGCAAGCCUGAUGCAGCGACGCCGCGUGAGGGAUGACGGCCUUCGGGUUGUAAACCUCUUUCAAUAGGGACGAAGGGUGACUGACGGUACCUAUAGAAGAAGCACCGGCCAACUACGUGCCAGCAGCCGCGGUAAUACGUAGGGUGCGAGCGUUGUCCGGAAUUACUGGGCGUAAAGAGCUCGUAGGUGGUUUGUCGCGUUGUUCGUGAAAACUCACA